RNAcentral lists this long non-coding RNA (697 nucleotides) under Homo sapiens (human). RNAcentral describes it as "non-protein coding lnc-USP6NL-7:17". Lineage: Eukaryota; Metazoa; Chordata; Mammalia; Primates; Hominidae. The record is from RNAcentral.
AGACCUUGGCAGAGAGCGCCCUGGGAAAUGCGGAUAUAGAAGGUCAGGAGAACAUCUCUCCUGGUUAUACAGCAUUCCAGGUGGGCUUUCAUGUGGUUGAGGAUAAUAUCAUUAGCACCAAAGGUGAAAAUCCGUGGAAGCUCAUCUUAUUUCAGCAGAAGAGUAGGAUGGGCCUUGUGGCACGAGUAAGCCAAACAAGGGAAAGGCAUUCACCAUCAAUUGACUCCUCAUCUGUUUUUAAGAGGGAAAUCUGAGUUUUCAAGGAAAGCCGAAUACAGUUGCCAAGUUGCCAGUCAAAGAAACAAUGUCAACACCUGCUCAUAGAGAUGGAAUUCCUAACCCGGAAUAUUGCCCUUGAAUUACAACGAGAAAAAGCACCUCUUCAAGUGAGAUGGCAGACCACCUCAGGAUGGAAAUGUAUUUCUUCAUCCCCCUCUCUACUUCCCUGUGACCUCCUGCAAAUAAGGGAGAGACAAAGAGAAGAGCAGAAGAACAGAAGAAUGGAGUGGCAAAGAGAAGAGAAGGAGUGACUGAACAUUGACAAGACUUUGGUUGGGGAUGGUCAGAGAGGAGAUUAGCUGCUAGACGGCCACACUGCGGAGAAAGAUCAUUUUCCCACUCCAUCCCCCUUCCAGCUCCCCAUCCAUCUCACCAAGAGCCAGCUCCACCACUCAAUAAAACCUUACAUUCAUCUUUC